GAGGGCACAGCUCAGUGGUAGAGCACGUGCUUAGCAUGCACGAGGUCCUGGGUUCAAUCCCCAGGCCCUCC
RNAcentral lists this transfer RNA (71 nucleotides) under Camelus bactrianus (Bactrian camel). It matches the Rfam family "tRNA". Rfam says of the family: Transfer RNA (tRNA) molecules are approximately 80 nucleotides in length. Their secondary structure includes four short double-helical elements and three loops (D, anti-codon, and T loops). Lineage: Eukaryota; Metazoa; Chordata; Mammalia; Artiodactyla; Camelidae. RNAcentral also lists the same sequence under 1 other name. The record is from Rfam by way of RNAcentral.